This 275-nucleotide unclassified non-coding RNA is filed under the name Hevea brasiliensis (rubber tree). Lineage: Eukaryota; Viridiplantae; Streptophyta; Magnoliopsida; Malpighiales; Euphorbiaceae. The record is from RNAcentral.
AAGCUCUGGUGGGUAGAUACUGGUGCCACCUCUGCGAUCAGGUGGUGAAUCCCGUCAUGGAGAUGGAGAUCAAGUGCCCCUUCUGCGACAGCGGCUUCGUGGAGGAGAUGGACGACAGGGAGGGCAUGGAGGACGCCGAUCUGGGAUCUGACCGGUCGCUGUCACUUUGGGCUCCUAUUCUGCUUGGGAUGUUGGGCGGCGAUCGCCCGCGCCGCCACCGGUCCCGAAGGGAGGACAUGGACGGUGACAAUGACUCCGACGACGACCGGGAGCUG